Molecule: long non-coding RNA, 1038 nt
Filed under: Sarcophilus harrisii (Tasmanian devil)
Lineage: Eukaryota; Metazoa; Chordata; Mammalia; Dasyuromorphia; Dasyuridae
Description: lncRNA (ENSSHAG00000026894.1)
Source: RNAcentral
AACAGCGGCCCGCGCCGCUUGACCCAGUCCCGGGAUUCGGGGUGCGAGCGCAGGCAGCGCGGCGUGGAGCCCCUUUGCAGCGUCUCUCUGGGUCUGACUGGGCACUGGCCGUGCCCGCCCUUUCAGCCCGGGCCUGAGAGCCGGGCGGCGAGGGCGCGUGGAGCUGACAAGGUCGUGCCCGCUGGGCCCGCCGGCCCCCGGCUCAGGUGGCGCCUCCCUCGAGGAGGUCGGCCCCCCCUGGCCACCGGGCAGCUGGUGACCGUGGCGCCGGUCUGCCCUGGGCCCCGGAGGCCGAGGAGCCCGGCCAGGAGGGUUUCUCCCGAAGGGCUGGCUCCCAGCUCCGCUCCCUCGGGCCCAGCCUCCCCUUUGGAGCCCUCGCCGCCUCGGGCUGCAGCCGCGAGAGGUGUCUGGCGAGCAGCCGCCUGGCAUCGAUGCCGCCGCCGCCGCCGCCGCGCCUUCCCCGUUCCUUUGUGUGGGCGCGUGGAGUGGAGGAGGCGGGACGAGGGGAGGGGGCCGCGCCGUUCUGUCGGUCCCGGUGUGUCGGGGUGUGUGUGUGCGCGUGUGUGUUCUAAGUGUCACCUCCUUCUCCCGGGGCCCCGGAGCUGCAGAGGAGGCGGCACGGAAGGAGCCGGAGCUCGGCUUUCCCUCAGAGCUUGGGACCCAUUUCGGGAGAAGCUCCAGCCCGGGCGGUGUCGCGCGGCCCGCCCGCUUCCCCGCUUCCCCGCUCUGCUCGGCUCCGCUCGGCUCCGCUGGCACCUCCCGCGGGCCGCCCAGAGCCGCGCGAAGCGGAGCUGCGAGGGGAGGAAAGCGCACUUAAAUAGCGGCGUUGGCCGCGCGUCAUCUGGCGGAGCAGGAAGUGCAGCCCAGUCCCGAGGGGGAGCGGCGCUGGCGAGGGAGGCUGGGAGGAGGCGGCCGCUCUGCGCUCGGCGUCCCCGGGACUUUGCCAUGGGCUGGGGGCAGCGGCAGCAGCAGCAGCGGCGGCGGUGCCAGGACGGCGGCGGCAGCGGCAGCCACAGCCACAUCUGGACCCGAAUCUAA